This 591-nucleotide ribosomal RNA is filed under the name uncultured bacterium. RNAcentral's name for it is "bacterial SSU rRNA". It matches the Rfam family "Bacterial small subunit ribosomal RNA", at positions 61 to 627 of the family's 1533-position model. The record is from RNAcentral.
GUCGAACGAGAAAGGGGUAGCAAUACCCCCGGUACAGUGGCGAACGGGUGAGUAACACGUGGGUAACCUAACUCCGGGUUUGGAAUAACCCGCCGAAAGGCGAGCUAAUACCGGAUGAUGCCGUGGGAUCGCAGGAUUCCGCGACCAAAGCCGACCUCUUCCUGAAAGUUGGCGCCUGGGGAGGGACCCGCGCCCCAUUAGUUAGUUGGUGAGGUAACGGCUCACCAAGACUCCGAUGGGUAGCCGGCCUGAGAGGGCGAUCGGCCACAGUGGAACUGAGACACGGUCCACACUCCUACGGGAGGCAGCAGUGAGGAAUCUUGCGCAAUGGGCGAAAGCCUGACGCAGCGACGCCGCGUGGACGAUGAAGGCCUUCGGGUCGUAAAGUCCUGUCGGGUGGGAAGAAAAUUCCGGGGCUAAUAUCUCCGGAACUUGACUGUACCACCAAAGGAAGCCCCGGCUAACUCCGUGCCAGCAGCCGCGGUAAUACGGAGGGGGCCAGCGUUGCUCGGAAUUAUUGGGCGUAAAGGGCGCGUAGGCGGUUUGGCAAGUCUGAUGUGAAAGCCCACGGCUCAACCGUGGAAGUGCAUC